UCGCCAUAGCUUAAUAAAAGCGACUAAUUGUUACUUAGUUGAUGUAUCCGCUACUGGUUAU
RNAcentral lists this transfer RNA (61 nucleotides) under Cepaea nemoralis (banded wood snail). Its description in RNAcentral is "tRNA-Asn". Lineage: Eukaryota; Metazoa; Mollusca; Gastropoda; Stylommatophora; Helicidae. The record is from RNAcentral.